Molecule: ribosomal RNA, 439 nt
Filed under: uncultured bacterium
Lineage: Bacteria
Description: partial 16S ribosomal RNA
Rfam family: Bacterial small subunit ribosomal RNA
Source: RNAcentral
CCUACGGGAGGCAGCAGUGGGGAAUAUUGCACAAUGGGGGAAACCCUGAUGGAGCGACGCCGCGUGAGUGAAGAAGUCUUUCGGUAUGUAAAGCUCUAUCAGCAGGGAAGAAAAUGACGGUACCUGAUUAAGAAGCCCCGGCUAACUCCGUUCCAGCAGCCGCGGUAAUACGGAGGAUGCGAGCGUUAUCCGGAUUUAUUGGGUUUAAAGGGUGCGUAGGCGGGCCUUUAAGCCGGCGGUCAAAUGGCGGGGCUCAACCCCGGCCUGCCGUCGGAACUGGGUGCCUUGAGUGGGCGAGAAGUAGGCGGAAUGCGUGGUGUAGCGGUGAAAUGCAUAGAUAUCACGCAGAACCCCGAUUGCGAAGGCAGCAUACCGGCGCCCGACUGACGCUGAGGCACGAAAGUGCGGGUAUCGAACAGGAUUAGAUACCCGAGUAGUC